UUUAAUUUUUUUCUAUUUUUUUUCAGAUUUGGGGUUCUUCACUAAAACUUGAAUAGAAUAAAAUCUACGACCCCAAUUGACGUCUAGUCAGUCUCGUCGGAUUAGUAUCUUUCCAAACUACAAGAUUCUAUCAUCAAAAUGCAAAUUUUGACAUGUUUUGGUUACUGAAAAUGGGCCGAAAGUGGACUGUUCUUACAAUGUUGCAACAGUUGACAUGUUUUGGUCAAAAAUCCAUAUCUCACUCAUUUUAAUUUAUUUUUACAUGCUUCGAAAGGGAUUUUGUUCUUAACC
Molecule: long non-coding RNA, 291 nt
Filed under: Panax ginseng (ginseng)
Lineage: Eukaryota; Viridiplantae; Streptophyta; Magnoliopsida; Apiales; Araliaceae
Description: long non-coding RNA (PGIN_LNC014893)
Source: RNAcentral